Molecule: ribosomal RNA, 428 nt
Filed under: uncultured archaeon
Lineage: Archaea
Description: bacterial SSU rRNA
Rfam family: Archaeal small subunit ribosomal RNA
Source: RNAcentral
UACCAGCUCUCCGAGUGGUAGGGAUGAUUAUUGGGCUUAAAGCGUCCGUAGCUGGCUUAGCAAGUCCUCCGUUAAAUCCAACGAUUCAAUCGUUGGACUGCGGGGGAUACUGCUGGGCUGGGGGACGGGAGAGGCCGACGGUAUUCUCGGAGUAGGGGUGAAAUCCUAUAAUUCCGGGAGGACCACCAGUGGCGAAGGCUGUCGGCUAGAACGAGCUCGACGGUGAGGGACGAAAGCUGGGGGAGCGAACCGGAUUAGAUACCUGGGUAGUCCCAGCUGUAAACGAUGCAGGCUAGGUGUUAGGGUGGCCACGAGCCACUCUAGUGCCGCAGCGAAGGCAUUAAGCCUGCCGCCUGGGGAGUACGGCCGCAAGGCUGAAACUUGAAGGAAUUGGCGGGGAGCACCACAAGGCGUGAAGCGUGCGGUUU